CAGCAGCCGCGGUAAUACGUAGGGUGCAAGCGUUAAUCGGAAUUACUGGGCGUAAAGCGUGCGCAGGCGGUUGUGCAAGACCGAUGUGAAAUCCCCGGGCUUAACCUGGGAAUGGCAUUGGUGACUGUACGGCUAGAGUGUGUCAGAGGGGGGUAGAAUUCCACGUGUAGCAGUGAAAUGCGUAGAGAUGUGGAGGAAUACCGAUGGCGAAGGCAGCCCCCUGGGAUAACACUGACGCUCAUGCACGAAAGCGUGGGGAGCAAACAGGAUUAGAUACCCUGGUAGUCCACGCCCUAAACGAUGUCUACUAGUUGUCGGGUCUUCAUUGACUUGGUAACGCAGCUAACGCGUGAAGUAGACCUCCUGGGGAGUACGGUCGCAAGAUUAAAACUCAAAGGAAUUGACGG
Molecule: ribosomal RNA, 407 nt
Filed under: uncultured bacterium
Lineage: Bacteria
Description: bacterial SSU rRNA
Rfam family: Bacterial small subunit ribosomal RNA
Source: RNAcentral